CGCCAGCAGCCGCGGUAAUACGUAGGGGGCAAGCGUUAUCCGGAUUCAUUGGGCGUAAAGAGCGCGUAGGCGGAUUGUUAAGUCAGAUGUGAAAACCGGGGGCUCAACCCGCGGCCUGCAUCUGAAACUGGCAGUCUUGAGUCUGGUAGAGGAAAGUGGAAUUCCUGGUGUAGCGGUGAAAUGCGCAGAUAUCAGGAGGAACACCAGUGGCGAAGGCGGCUUUCUGGGCCACGACUGACGCUGAGGCGCGAAAGCUAGGGGAGCGAACAGGAUUAGAUACCCUGGUAGUCCUAGCCGUAAACGAUGGGCACUAGGUGUGGGAGGUCAUCGACUCCUUCCGUGCCGAAGCUAACGCAUUAAGUGCCCCGCCUGGGGAGUACGGCCGCAAGGCUAAAACUCAAAGGAAUUGACGGGGGCCCGCACA
This 424-nucleotide ribosomal RNA is filed under the name uncultured bacterium. Its description in RNAcentral is "bacterial SSU rRNA". It matches the Rfam family "Bacterial small subunit ribosomal RNA", at positions 506 to 927 of the family's 1533-position model. The record is from RNAcentral.